UAUAAUGAAUUGACUAUUGUGAUCUCUUUAGCUUGAAAUAGGCGCUGGAGUCUGUCUGAGUAUGUAAAAGAUGUGGUGGAUAGGAUAAGAAAGAAACCUUCUACAUCAGCUAAUUCUUCUUCCACGAGGGACUCAAAUAAAGGAGGAAGCAACCACUGGUACCAUUUUCACACAACGGAGCCGACUUACUUAAGUUACUUCGUCACUUUAACGUACUUUUUUUCUUACUCUAUCAUAGGCCUUCGUCGGGCUGGCUUUCAUGCUUUGCCCUAGCCACCGCUAUCCUUGGGAAACCAAAAGAUUGCAGAAUGGAGGAAACUAUUGCGAAUGAGCUAAAGAAGAAGAUAUGGAAAGACUGACCGCAAUUGAAGAAAUGACCUUAAAUCUUUGUGUACUGACUCCGAAUCGAAUUUCGCGGAUAACCCCAAUUUUGGUUUAAUAGUACAUCCUAAUAGGGGACAAAUGUUAAAGGAAUUGGUUGAUCUUGACGCUUUGUGCAAUUGAGUGUAGGUUUGGAUCAUAACAGGGCAGGACUAAAUUUUAUAAGUAGAAGUCGACCUCGCAUCUUAUAACUAUUAGCUUGUAUAUUGAUCUUAAUUGCCAUAUCUCAUGCUUUGGUGCUGAGUCCCCAAUUUCAAACCUCUCUUUCCGCUUAUGUCUUCUUGUUUGCUUGAGGGCAAGCAAAGACUAAGUUUGGGGGAUUUGAUAUGUCUAUAAUAUGUAUGACUUAGGCAUUCAUUCUUCACCACUUUGUCAUUGUUUCAUCCACAUUUCAUCUCAUUAGUAGUCGUUUUAGCGUGUUUUGCAUAUUUAGGACGGUUUUGUAUUAGGAUUGCAUGUGCAUUGUAGGUUUGGUUGUUUUCAUGUACUUUGGAUGCUUUUGGAGUUUAAACAUAGGAGAAACAGAACCAAAAGUCAGAAUGGUCAAUGACGCCUUCAACCAAAGUACUCGAUCGCAACCUUAGAGCCCUGC
Molecule: small RNA, 973 nt
Filed under: Arabidopsis thaliana (thale cress)
Lineage: Eukaryota; Viridiplantae; Streptophyta; Magnoliopsida; Brassicales; Brassicaceae
Description: ATSL275730
Source: RNAcentral